GAUGAACGCUGGCGGCGUGCUUAACACAUGCAAGUCGAACGGAAAGGCCGAAGCUUGCUUCGGUACUCGAGUGGCGAACGGGUGAGUAACACGUGGGUGAUCUGCCCUGUACUUCGGGAUAAGCUUGGGAAACUGGGUCUAAUACCGGAUAUGACGAUCUCUUGGAUGGGGUUGUGGAAAGCUUUUGCGGUAUGGGAUGAGCUCGCGGCCUAUCCGCUUGUUGGUGGGGUAAUGGCCUACCAAGGCGUCGACGGGUAGCCGGCCUGAGAGGGUGUACGGCCACAUUGGGACUGAGAGACGGCCCAGACUCCUACGGGAGGCAGUAGUGGGGAAUAUUGCACAAUGGGCGCAAGCCUGAUGCAGCGACGCCGCGUGGGGGAUGACGGCCUUCGGGUUGUAAACUCCUUUCGCAAUCGACGAAGCCUUUUGGUGACGGUAGGUUGAGAAGAAGCACCGGCUAACUACGUG
This 468-nucleotide ribosomal RNA is filed under the name uncultured bacterium. RNAcentral describes it as "partial 16S ribosomal RNA". It matches the Rfam family "Bacterial small subunit ribosomal RNA", at positions 28 to 507 of the family's 1533-position model. The record is from RNAcentral.